This 21-nucleotide small RNA is filed under the name Arabidopsis thaliana (thale cress). RNAcentral describes it as "ATSL232090". Lineage: Eukaryota; Viridiplantae; Streptophyta; Magnoliopsida; Brassicales; Brassicaceae. The record is from RNAcentral.
CAAGACAACUGGAGAUAUCAU